This 719-nucleotide ribosomal RNA is filed under the name Escherichia coli. RNAcentral's name for it is "partial 23S ribosomal RNA". It matches the Rfam family "Bacterial large subunit ribosomal RNA", at positions 2230 to 2925 of the family's 2925-position model. The record is from RNAcentral. Lineage: Bacteria; Pseudomonadati; Pseudomonadota; Gammaproteobacteria; Enterobacterales; Enterobacteriaceae.
GACCCGUAAUCCGGGUUGCGGACAGUGUCUGGUGGGUAGUUUGACUGGGGCGGUCUCCUCCUAAAGAGUAACGGAGGAGCACGAAGGUUGGCUAAUCCUGGUCGGACAUCAGGAGGUUAGUGCAAUGGCAUAAGCCAGCUUGACUGCGAGCGUGACGGCGCGAGCAGGUGCGAAAGCAGGUCAUAGUGAUCCGGUGGUUCUGAAUGGAAGGGCCAUCGCUCAACGGAUAAAAGGUACUCCGGGGAUAACAGGCUGAUACCGCCCAAGAGUUCAUAUCGACGGCGGUGUUUGGCACCUCGAUGUCGGCUCAUCACAUCCUGGGGCUGAAGUAGGUCCCAAGGGUAUGGCUGUUCGCCAUUUAAAGUGGUACGCGAGCUGGGUUUAGAACGUCGUGAGACAGUUCGGUCCCUAUCUGCCGUGGGCGCUGGAGAACUGAGGGGGGCUGCUCCUAGUACGAGAGGACCGGAGUGGACGCAUCACUGGUGUUCGGGUUGUCAUGCCAAUGGCACUGCCCGGUAGCUAAAUGCGGAAGAGAUAAGUGCUGAAAGCAUCUAAGCACGAAACUUGCCCCGAGAUGAGUUCUCCCUGACCCUUUAAGGGUCCUGAAGGAACGUUGAAGACGACGACGUUGAUAGGCCGGGUGUGUAAGCGCAGCGAUGCGUUGAGCUAACCGGUACUAAUGAACCGUGAGGCUUAACCUUACAACGCCGAAGGUGUUU